RNA transcript from Ictalurus furcatus (blue catfish), 2131 nucleotides. It is a transcript of the gene named lactose-binding lectin l-2-like, with no coding region annotated. The transcript has 8 exons. The record is from RefSeq and is a predicted model, not a curated record. NCBI's taxonomy places the organism in Eukaryota, Metazoa, Chordata, Actinopteri, Siluriformes, Ictaluridae.
AUUCAAAAAGUAGAUCUGAAAGUUAUUUAGAUGUGGAGAAAUUACUAGCCUAGGCAGCUGAAAAAGCAGAUCAUGGUUCAUGAAGGAAUGGAAAUUAGUCUUGACGGAUCAGUUAUGUAUAACUGUUAGAUAAUUCAAAUAAACUGGAAGCUUUUUACAGUAAAUCUGGCCUUGUAUUUAGAGGCAUGCCUUCACUUUCUUACUGAGUUGGAUUGUGGUUUGGCGGUGAUGCACACAUCUGUGUGAUGCUAUCUGUGUCCCUUCUGAAACUGUAGAGUUUAGAUAGUUUAGACAGGGUGGGGUCAGAUGAAGCCAGAAAGUUUUGAUAAGGAGAUCUAUAACAAGUGUCGUGGAAAUUAGACAACACUCGCAGACGCGUCCUCUGAGGUGGAAAAAAGGUUUAUUACAGAAAGAUGGUUAGUACAGGAUAGAAGAACACAGGAUAGAAUAAUGAGAGCGCUCUGAGGCACUUGUGCUGAACAAUUACUAUAUAUAUGAAAUGCAGAGCAUGAUAUACUUCUGUGUGCCGAUGAGAAGCGGUUUGAGGCAGUUCAAACAGGCUUUAUUUCAGGGUCUUAUAAGAUAUGCAGAUGAACCUUGAAGAGAAGAACAUGUUUGUGUCUCUGCAUGCAGAUAAACAUUCUGUACUGGUCUAAGUGACAUGACAUGACCUUCUUAGGCGUUAGCCUCAGAUCAACAUUUUAUUUUGGUAGUGGUGGUGAUAGGGGUUCCCAUUACUAUAUAAGCGCCAUCACUUCACUCAUGUUUUAUAUCAAGCAAAAAGAGUCUCCUGAUUAGAGUGCAUGAAAAACUAGAGUUAUGGCUCGUCAGACUGAAGUGGUUUUGCUUCUUAUUCUCGCCAUUGCAGCAGCAGCUUCUGCUGAUGUGGAGAAACCUCUUUCAGAGGGUUAUUUUGAUCAGCUUGUACAAGAAGCCAUGAAGCAAACUGAAGUGGGGACAUGCCUGGGAUGCUGUCCAUUCGGCUGGGUGAAAUAUAAUGGAUAUUGCUACAGUUAUCACAGCUCAAAGAUAGACUGGGCUUCUGCUGAGAAACACUGUCUGAAAUUAAGCGCAAACUUGAUGUCAGUGCACAGUCAGAAGGACUAUCUGAUGGCCAAGGCCCUUAUCCGUGCAUUUGACCCCGUGGAGCCCCCAACUUGGCUUGGCCUGUCUGACUGUCAGAAGAAGAAUGAGUGGUUUUGGUCUGAUGGCACCAAAGUGACGUUCACCAAGUGGAAUCCAACUGAGCCAAAUUUUCUGAAUGGAGAGUGCUGUGUGCAUAUGAACUGGGGCAGUAAGUGGGUCUAGAAACCUCAUGUAGCUGUGUUGUUUGUUUGUUUGUUUUGUUUUUUGUUUUUUGUUGUUGUUUUUUUUAAUGUACCUUCAAUGAACUUCAGUGAUUGGUGUUUCAAAUGAAUUUUUUCACAACAUUAUUUAAUUAUUUUAAUAUUCAUUUCUGUCUGCAGCGCAGCGGGACUGAAAUGACAUUCCAUGUUAUCAGAGCUUUCCUUUUCUGUGUGCCAAGAAAUUAAACUGAAACUCUGACCUCAUCUGUAAUGUGAUGUAAAAAAUACAUUUCCUUGUCCUAAGAUGGCACAAAUACAUUUGUGAAAACACACUGUAAAAUCUUAAGAAAAUUUGAGCAAUAUGAAUAAUAAAAAAUAAAUAAUAAAUAAAAUAAGAUCUUAAAUGUCUUUAUGAAAUUAUUUCAUAUACAGUACAGUUAUCAUCUCUGGUAUUAGCAUUUCAGAUACAAUAAUGCUAACAUGGUAUUAUGGUAGGAGUAUUCUAUAAUGUCACCAUAAUAGAAUGUUACAUCACUGAGUUGGAGGAUUUAUUCGUAGCUAGUAUAUUCUAGUGCAAUGUCUAAAAUUGGCAAUAUUUUAUUAAAAUUGUUACAUACGUGAUAAUUCCUAUAAAGGAAUACACAAUGAAAACAAGUAUCGAAUGGCCAAGGCCCUUAUCCGUACUCAUGACUCCGCGGAGAAUCCAACAUGGAUCGGCCUUUCUAGCUGUCAGGAGAAAUAUAAGUGGUUUUGGUCCGAUGGCACCAAAUUGAUUUACACCAAGUGGAACCCAAGAGAACCAAAUCAUCUCCUUGGAGAGUGUUGUGUGCAUAUGAACUACGGCA